This 459-nucleotide ribosomal RNA is filed under the name uncultured bacterium. RNAcentral describes it as "partial 16S ribosomal RNA". It matches the Rfam family "Bacterial small subunit ribosomal RNA", at positions 338 to 795 of the family's 1533-position model. The record is from RNAcentral.
CCUACGGGUGGCAGCAGUGAGGAAUAUUGGUCAAUGGACGAGAGUCUGUACCAGCCAAGUAGCGUGAAGGAUGACUGCCCUAUGGGUUGUAAACUUCUUUUAUAUGGGAAUAAAACAGGGUAUGCAUACCCUCUUGUAUGUACCAUAUGAAUAAGGAUCGGCUAACUCCGUGCCAGCAGCCGCGGUAAUACGGAGGAUGCGAGCGUUAUCCGGAUUUAUUGGGUUUAAAGGGUGCGUAGGCGGACGCUUAAGUCAGCGGUAAAAUUGCGGGGCUCAACCUCGUCGAGCCGUUGAAACUGGGUGCCUUGAGUGGGCGAGAAGUACGCGGAAUGCGUGGUGUAGCGGUGAAAUGCAUAGAUAUCACGCAGAACUCCGAUUGCGAAGGCAGCGUACCGGCGCCCAACUGACGCUGAAGCACGAAGGCGUGGGUAUCGAACAGGAUUAGAUACCCGGGUAGUC